This 503-nucleotide ribosomal RNA is filed under the name uncultured bacterium. RNAcentral's name for it is "partial 16S ribosomal RNA". It matches the Rfam family "Bacterial small subunit ribosomal RNA", at positions 30 to 523 of the family's 1533-position model. The record is from RNAcentral.
AUUGAACGCUGGCGGCAGGCUUAACACAUGCAAGUCGAGCGGAGUGAUGGUGCUUGCACUAUCACUUAGCGGCGGACGGGUGAGUAAUGCUUAGGAAUCUGCCUAUUAGUGGGGGACAACAUCUCGAAAGGGAUGCUAAUACCGCAUACGUCCUACGGGAGAAAGCAGGGGAUCACUUGUGACCUUGCGCUAAUAGAUGAGCCUAAGUCGGGUUAGCUAGUUGGUGGGGUAAAGGCCUACCAGGGCGACGAUCUGUAGCGGGUCUGAGAGGAUGAUCCGCCACACUGGGACGGAGACACGGCCCAGACUCCUACGGGAGGCAGCAGUGGGGAAUAUUGGACAAUGGGGGGAACCCUGAUCCAGCCAUGCCGCGUGUGUGAAGAAGGCCUUAUGGUUGUAAAGCACUUUAAGCGAGGAGGAGGCUCUUUUGGUUAAUACCCAAGAUGAGUGGACGUUACUCGCAGAAUAAGCACCGGCUAACUCUGUGCCAGCCGCCGCAGUAA